Molecule: non-coding RNA, 73 nt
Organism: Lagenorhynchus albirostris (white-beaked dolphin)
Lineage: Eukaryota; Metazoa; Chordata; Mammalia; Artiodactyla; Delphinidae
Source: the annotation of a RefSeq genome assembly
UCCCUGGUGGUCCAGUGGGUAAGACUCCGCGUUGCCAAUGCAGAGGGCCCGGGUUCCAUCCCCGGUCAGGGAA